This 183-nucleotide ribosomal RNA is filed under the name uncultured bacterium. Its description in RNAcentral is "partial 16S ribosomal RNA". It matches the Rfam family "Bacterial small subunit ribosomal RNA", at positions 1318 to 1500 of the family's 1533-position model. The record is from RNAcentral.
GCGUGAAGUUGGAAUCGCUAGUAAUCGCGGAUCAGCAUGCCGCGGUGAAUACGUUCCCGGGCCUUGUACACGCCGCCCGUCACACCAUGAGAGUCGGGAACACCCGAAGUCCGUAGCCUAACCGCAAGGGGGGCGCGGCCGAAGGUGGGUUCGAUAAUUGGGGUGAAGUCGUAACAAGGUAAC